This 250-nucleotide ribosomal RNA is filed under the name uncultured bacterium. Its description in RNAcentral is "partial 16S ribosomal RNA". It matches the Rfam family "Bacterial small subunit ribosomal RNA", at positions 524 to 772 of the family's 1533-position model. The record is from RNAcentral.
UACGGAGGAUCCAAGCGUUAUCCGGAUUUAUUGGGUUUAAAGGGUGUGUAGGCGGCCUAUUAAGUCAGGGGGUGAAAGACGGUGGCUCAACCAUCGCAGUGCCCUUGAUACUGAUGGGCUUGAUUACACUUGAGGUAGGCGGAAUGUGACAAGUAGCGGUGAAAUGCGUAGAUAUGUCACAGAACACCAAUUGCGAAGGCAGCUUACUAAGGUGUCAAUGACGCUGAGGCACGAAAGCGUGGGGAUCAAA